AUGGCUUUUCCAUUUUGUUGACAAGUUUAGGUGAGUAAGGGCAAAACGCACAAGAUAUAGUACUUUUAAUGCCAUGUAGAUGGCAAUAUUGCUUCUUUUGUAGCAGAAAUAAACUGCUGCAGAAAAAGUUAGGUGUCAUGCUAAAUGUAAUUGCAUGACUCACACAUGCAUUGGAAUUAAAGUGUACAGAUACUUAUUCAAAAAUGUAUUGAAGUAGAGAAUAAAAGUUGCUAAUACCGCAGUAAAACUACAAAGUAGCCAAAAAGAAACAGAGUACAGUAACUAAUUACAUUUACUCAAAUACGUUGCACUACUGCUGAUACCACCACAAUACUUUGUAAGUAAAAAAAUAUUUACAUAGCACCUUAUUAAACAAUUACCUGUGAGAUAAAUAUAUGAUGUGAAUAUGGUUAAUUGGUUGAACCUGCUAACAUAUUCUGCAUGGUAUGGACCUCUGAAGAAAUUCUUGUACAACCCGUUUGGUCAGUAUGGGGUGCAUUUCCCAAAAACAUAGGUACUGUAGCCAACUAUGGUCACACAAGUUUCGUUGUCACCAACAGGGGAGACCUGCAGGAUUUCAGCUGACAGCUGAUUUGAUUACUUACAGACAUGUAAAAAAAAAUCUUUUAACCCUGAAAACAGCAAAAAGCAAUGGAAUGGUCAAAGACAUCCAUCGCAUGUUCACACAGGAAAACGACUGAAAAAUAGCACGGGUAGACACAAAAACCAGUUCGGUGUGAAUGGCCGCUUUUUAGGCAAGUAUGGGUGUCAUGUCAUAAAAUAUUUUAAUAUAACUGAAUUUAUGAGCCUGUCCUCCAACAAAAAACGACCAUAUAGGUCGUUUGUGCAAGCACCUUAUUACGACCUAUUUUUACGUUUUAACGUUAAGCGGCCUCUAGCGGGCGUAAAAAUAAUGACAGUAUCGCGUUGCGUCUGUCGUCAUGAAAUGACGUAUAAAAGUCAUUACCAAUCAAAACGCACGUUUAUUUAAAUGCAAUGUGUGGACUUUUUACACCGAUCUCACAGUAAUUCGUACAUAUUUUACUAGGAGGCUUAUUCGUUCGAAUGACCACACCUAACCCCACCCCCUAAACCUAACCCUCACAGAAAUCAUGCUAAAUUAUGAUUUUUUGAGCAUAUACAUUUUACGUGCACGUCCAUUCUCGGGGAUCGAAACCAUGAUUGCAUGAUUGCAUAUCAAGGUAUAACGCAAUAAUCUACCAACUGAGCUACACGAAACGCAAAUCACGGUGCAAAUAAAAGAGUACAAAACAUUAAUAUGAACACGACCUUUUGCCGAUAGGGGCGCAAUUGUAGUAUAUGCUCUGAUGGGUCGUAUUUCAGGGAUUUGGACAAACGACCUAUACGAGCGUAUUAGUUGGAGGACAGGUUGGCAAAAACGCAUAAAAAGAAAUAUGAUGCGAUAUGAGCAGAUCUAAAUGUAAUGCCGCAAACAACACUUUUCAUUUAAUUUUCACUUUAUUUGCCACAGCCAUAAUAGAUUUAGUUUAACUGAGCAGGGGCGUUUUUGUCCAGUUUAGUGCCCCCGUUAAUUCCAUACCAGUGGCCAGGGGAAGGCAAUAUGAUUCAGUGAAACAGCGGUCCAAAUCCAUUCGGCCAGUUCAUCGAAAAGGGAGAACUAACUCAAAAGAAUGAUUAAAUCACGAAUGAUUGGCAUCGAAUUGUUGGUAAUAACUGCUAAAAUAUUUGUAGGAAAAAUGUUUCUCGGGUCAAAGCGCUCAUAGUAGACCUACGCACUGUCCAGCUGCAGGCACUACUGGUCACCAACAUAGUUCAAUGGGUUCUGCGUUUCCAAUGAACACUUGAAAACAGCAUCACAAAGUUAUAUAGUUGGAACUACAGCUCUUGACCAGUGGUUUGAAGCAUAGAUUCUAGUUAGUAUGACAUGUGAACUUAACAGAUCAAGUGUAUUUGGCAAAAUAAGCAAGCUAGCAAAUUAUGCAAUUGAUAUCAUUCAUUCUGUCUUCAUUUACUCAACAUCAUGUCCUUCCAAACUUGUAUUACUUCUUUAUUCUGAAGAACUUUUUAAUUGGCAAGAAAGGAAAAAAUGGAAUUCAUUCAACACUACUUUGAGGAAGGACAUUCACAUGCCGUGAUUAUGGACAUGCUGUUCAUGUACCAUGGCAUAAAUAUUCACCUGUGCUCUCUAAAUACACACCUCAAGGAUGCAGGUAUGUUUAGAAGAAAAACUAUUCACCAUUAAAUGAUAUAAGGAAUGCAAUAAGAGCAGAGCUGCGUGGACCAGGACUGUUGUUCGGCUACUGGACAAUGUGUUAAGUACUUGUGCAGAAACACAGAUUGUGUGUUAAAUGUUAUGAUGUUAUGCGAUUGCUGCAAGAACUUAACCCACAAGAACAGAACAGAGGACACUUCGUAGGUUUGUUUGAUGCACGUAUCACUCCAUGGGACCAAACUAUCUGUGGCAUGUUGAUGGUUAUGAUAUACUAAAGCCAUUUGGUUUUGGCAUAUCAGGAUGCAUUGCAAGUUUUUCAAAACAUAUCCUCUGGCUUACUUAUGGGUCUACUUACAAUGUCCCUGCUGUUAUUACACACAACUUCAUUACUUGUGUUUAACCCCUUGGUUUCGUACCUAUGAGAAUACAAACAGACUGUGGAAUGGAAAAUGGUACAUUUCCAGCAAUGCAGUGCACUCUCCGUCAUCAUCCUUCAGACUACUAAGCUGGCUUGAAUCAAGAAGUCACAUGUAUAAUACAACAAUGAGCAAUCAACACACUGAAUCUUGAUAGUCCGGUUUCAGAAAAGCAAGGGCUCUGUUUUGGAUAGAACUCGUAAGGGACCUGAAGAAUGAUGGACACUUCAAUGGCAGUAACAAACACCAAUGCCUUUUUCAGUUCUGCUUCCAAAAUGUUCUACAGGCGGAUUUGGAUGAUUGUGUUGAGCUCUGCAAUGUGCCCUGGGGGUGUACCAAAUGAACUGUGUCAUCUACCACACAGGUAUGGAUCAAGAAACUGUGGCAUUGCAGUUGAAGAAGAUGAGUUAAGUGCUUUUCCCGAGACAAGGCUGACAAAGCAGUUAUGUAGUGACAAAAACAUCCAGGAAUAUCUAGAAUUUGCAAUGGAACACAAUCAGUUACGGUGGCCAGAGAAUUGGGAGGAAGCAUUACAACUCUACUUCACAUUGAAGGAAAUAGCAGGCCUCUGAGCACGAGUAUGUAAACAAAAGACAGUAGAAACUACAGAGUACAACCUUGGAAGAACUUAAAUAAUAAACUGUGACAUUGCAAUAAUAAUGUACUGAGAAUACGGAGGAUGUACAGUUGACUUAAAUACAUCCAAAACCUGGAGAAUUUUGGAUUCCAAAAUCCAUGCGAGUCUGAAAAAGACUGAAUGUGUCUAAGAUUGGUAACUUGAGUGUGUUUGUGAAUGUAUUGAUUGUGAAUGUGAAUGUUGUUCUAAACCAUACAGGUUUAGAACAACUUGAGGCUGAAUAAAUUGCAUUUUUGUGUGAACUAUUGCUUUAAAGAUGUCUGAACUUCAUCUUAAACAGAACAUGCGUUUGAUAGACUACAAAUAACAAACCUUCACAAUCGAGAAGGUAGUCUGACCAAAUGAAAACGUACUGGAUUCCUUUAGCCUCUGGUUACUACCUACUGGGCUGAAUUCUGCUUUGAAGAUUUUUUUUUUCAAAUCAGUCACUGUCAGCUUCUUCUCAGUGUGGCAGAGGAGACAAAACACUGGGAUGCUGCUCAAGUGCUGUCAGAAAUUCCAGAGUGGCAAGUCCAUCCUUAAAUCUAUUAAAAGGAGUUUAAGUUGUUUUGUUUACAGAAAUUAAAUGUAAUAUUCAUGCAAUGUAAAUUAUUUAGUGAAAUAAAGUAACAUUCUAAAAGGGCAAAUAAUUUU
This is a long non-coding RNA of Cyprinus carpio carpio, 3880 nucleotides long. NCBI's taxonomy places the organism in Eukaryota, Metazoa, Chordata, Actinopteri, Cypriniformes, Cyprinidae. The record is from Ensembl.